Molecule: ribosomal RNA, 800 nt
Filed under: uncultured bacterium
Lineage: Bacteria
Description: bacterial SSU rRNA
Rfam family: Bacterial small subunit ribosomal RNA
Source: RNAcentral
CUUCCUUGAUACUUAGCGGCGGACGGGUGAGUAACACGUAGGCAACCUGCCCUCAAGUUUGGGACAACUACCGGAAACGGUAGCUAAUACCGAAUAGUUGUUUUCUUCUCCUGAAGGAAACUGGAAAGACGGAGCAAUCUGUCACUUGGGGAUGGGCCUGCGGCGCAUUAGCUAGUUGGUGGGGUAACGGCUCACCAAGGCGACGACGCGUAGCCGACCUGAGAGGGUGAUCGGCCACACUGGGACUGAGACACGGCCCAGACUCCUACGGGAGGCAGCAGUAGGGAAUCUUUCGCAAUGGGCGAAAGCCUGACGGAGCAAUGCCGCGUGAGUGAUGAAGGUUUUCGGAUCGUAAAGCUCUGUUGCCAGGGAAGAACGCUUGGGAGAGUAACUGCUCUCAAGGUGACGGUACCUGAGAAGAAAGCCCCGGCUAACUACGUGCCAGCAGCCGCGGUAAUACGUAGGGGGCAAGCGUUGUCCGGAAUUAUUGGGCGUAAAGCGCGCGCAGGCGGUCAUUUAAGUCUGGUGUUUAAUCCCGGGGCUCAACCCCGGAUCGCACUGGAAACUGGGUGACUUGAGUGCAGAAGAGGAGAGUGGAAUUCCACGUGUAGCGAUGAAAUGCGUAGAUAUGUGGAGGAACACCAGUGGCGAAGGCGACUCUCUGGGCUGUAACUGACGCUGAGGCGCGAAAGCGUGGGGAGCAAACAGGAUUAGAUACCUGGUAGUCCACGCCGUAAACGAUGAGUGCUAGGUGUUAGGGGUUUCGAUACCCUUGGUGCCGAAGUUAACACAUUAAGCAC